UCGCGUCCUUUACAGGCGAGGGGCGGGACAACGCCACUCUGUGACACCGGGCACCGCCCACGGGGCUUUAAAGGGGCAGAGCCGUUGCUUUUCACCCCCCCUGGCCUCCAUCUCAGCGCAUUUUGCUCGAUUCCGCCCGGUUCCCGGUGCACGCCGCGGGCGUGGUCACGUGUGCGUCCGUGGGUGCGCGUGGCAUCCCGUACUGGCGAAGAGACCCGCGCAGCUGCCGCUGCUCGGCGCGGAGCCGCGGGGGUGCCCGGUGCAGCGGGCGGGGGGGUCGUGGCUGUUUGGUGUUUGUGCGUUUGAAGCCACCCCCGGGCCGUGCCGUGUCACUGCGGGCCCUGGCGCCGCAACGUGGCGCGUUUCCAGCGGGGGAGCGGGUUCGGACGGUGGAUUCCUGUUGCCGGUGGCUCCCGCGAGGAAGGUUAUGGAGAUGUGUGAACUUGCAACAGCCUGCACCUGAAACUGGAGCCUUUAUCCACCAAAGCAAACUCGUAACCUACCCCAGAAGAAGCUGCUGAUUCACGGGGCGAGGGUGGACGCUCUUCCAUGGCUGAGACACAACUGGGUGCCCAGCCCGGGCCUGCAUGGCCAUUGCUGCUGUUGGGCUCUGACAGACGCCUCCACUGAGGCUGCCUCUGCCCCAGUGCCUGUCCUGCCCACCCUGUGCCCCCCGUACCUGACCCACAGGUGAUGCUGUGCCCAAUAGCAAGAGGCAAAGCCACCUGUGCUGCUGCAAAGAGUGCAGAGACUGUCACCCUGGUCAAGGGCCCAGCCACAGAAGAAUAAGCUGCAUUUAUUUGCUUGAAGAGCAUUUAGGGAUGUACCAUGUCUUAAAAUACAAGAAUUCUGAAUUAAACAUGAACUAUGGCUGUCCCGGUGCAGCCAAGGAGCCUGGGGACUGGCAGCAGUGGCAGGGCGGCUGCCAGCUGUUAUCUCGGGCGACAGGAGGAAGCAUGUAGUGUUCACUGUGACUCAUUUAUGGUGGUGUUUGCAGUGCAAAGCACUGUUAGUGGCAAGCUGGUGGGCUCACCUGAGCUUACAGCAACCUUUUCUGACCAGUAGGGCAAGGUCCAUUGGAAGAGAGUCUGUAAUAUUCAGCUGCCAAGUGUCUCAAAAAGAAAAAUGUAGAUUUCCAGCUAAAUAAUAAUAAAAGUGGGUUGAUUGAUAAAGCUAUCUGAACU
Molecule: long non-coding RNA, 1184 nt
Filed under: Calidris pugnax (ruff)
Lineage: Eukaryota; Metazoa; Chordata; Aves; Charadriiformes; Scolopacidae
Description: lncRNA (ENSCPUG00000009361.1)
Source: RNAcentral